Molecule: long non-coding RNA, 1108 nt
Filed under: Sinocyclocheilus grahami
Lineage: Eukaryota; Metazoa; Chordata; Actinopteri; Cypriniformes; Cyprinidae
Description: lncRNA (ENSSGRG00000009276.1)
Source: RNAcentral
AUUCAUUGGUACGGUGAGUAGUCUGUAGAAAACGUUUAAUUACAGAAUAUUGUCUAGUUAGUAAUCACAGCGUGAUUGUAAUGAUCCUGUGUUUUGGUUUCUUUUAGAUGGGCAGAAGUGGAAACACCCAGAAGGAAAAAAAUUAAACGCAUUCUAGACUCAGAUGAUGAAAGUCCCACCAGCACUGACCGUGUAGUAGCUCCAGCAAUGUCAAAUACAAAGGAGUCUAUGCUUCCCAAACAGCCCAGUUCCUCUCCUGUGCCUGAAAAAACAAGGCCGUGUGAAAAACUCAAUCCAUCAACCACAGAAGCUGACGAUGAUGACACAGACAUUGAUUCAGAUGAUUCUCAGAGUUUGUUACAACCAGAAAUGUACCAUAUCACAGUUCCAUGUAGCAUUCUUAUGGACUCUGGACCCUCAGCAGAAUCAGAGUACAGUCUAGAACCUUCUUCACCUGCCGGUGCAGCCCCAGCAGCUAUGUGCACCUCACCUGGGUCUGUCGCGGCCCCUGAACUAGAGGAAACACCAUCCACAAGCAGAACUUCUCCACCGCCCAGAGCUCAAACCACUGACCCUACGCCUAACCAGGACCGUGCCAGCGAUGGUCCCACAGGGGUUUCUUCAUCACCAGGUCGUCCCGCUGCAGCAGAUGCUUCUGAUGUGGGUACCACAGAGAAAUCCCAGUCCAGUGCUGCCAUAUUCUGGACCAGAUGUAAUGAGGCUGGGUGGACUAAAGAAGUCUUCUCAGAGCUCGUGUCUCAGCUGAGCAGCCUAGGAGAAAGAGUGCUGUCACAGGAAGCCUGCCACCAAGACUAUGAUGUUGCUCUCAAAGUAUUGUUGGCAUCUGGACAGCUGCCUUGCAUUUUUACUCAGCUGGAACAAGACCUGGAGAAACAGGAAAGGGAUUUGCAGAGGAAAAAAGCAGCAUUGAGGGAUGCCAAAGCUGUACUAGAUGUUUAAUAUAACAAUCUAACAGAAUUAAGAUGUUUUAUCGUUUUUAAAAAUGUUUUUUUAAAGUCCAGAACAUUUCUGCAGUUUGCAUACAUCAGAUGGUUUUGAUCAGACAUUUUUUACAUCAGUAAUAGAAAUCUCAUGAAAUAUAUCUACA